RNAcentral lists this ribosomal RNA (249 nucleotides) under uncultured Enterococcus sp. Its description in RNAcentral is "partial 16S ribosomal RNA". It matches the Rfam family "Bacterial small subunit ribosomal RNA", at positions 355 to 596 of the family's 1533-position model. The record is from RNAcentral. Lineage: Bacteria; Bacillati; Bacillota; Bacilli; Lactobacillales; Enterococcaceae.
UAGGGAAUCUUCGGCAAUGGACGAAAGUCUGACCGAGCAACGCCGCGUGAGUGAAGAAGGUUUUCGGAUCGUAAAACUCUGUUGUUAGAGAAGAACAAGGACGUUAGUAACUGAACGUCCCCUGACGGUAACUAACCAGAAAGCCACGGCUAACUACGUGCCAGCAGCCGCGGUAAUACGUAGGCGGCAAGCGUUGUCCGGAUUUACUGGGCGUAAAGCGAGCGCAGGCGGUUUCUUAAGUCUGAUGUG